RNAcentral lists this ribosomal RNA (413 nucleotides) under uncultured microorganism. Its description in RNAcentral is "bacterial SSU rRNA". It matches the Rfam family "Archaeal small subunit ribosomal RNA", at positions 330 to 745 of the family's 1478-position model. The record is from RNAcentral.
GUGCACCAGGCGCGAAACCUUCGCAAUGCGGGAAACCGCGACGAGGGGACUCCCAGUGCCUACGCUCAGCGUAGGCUGUUCCCGAGCCUAGAAAGCUCGGGGAGUAAGGGCUGGGUAAGACGGGUGCCAGCCGCCGCGGUAAUACCCGCAGCCCGAGUGGUGGCCACUAUUAUUGGGCCUAAAGCGUCCGUAGCCGGCCCGGUAAAUGCCUGGGUAAAUCGUGAGGCCUAACCUCACGAAUUCCGGGUAGACUGCCGGGCUAGGGACCGGAGGAGGGAGAGGGUACUCCAGGGGUAGGGGUGAAAUCCUGUAAUCCCUGGAGGACCACCGGUGGCGAAGGCGCUCUCCUAGGACGGGUCCGACGGUGAGGGACGAAAGCCAGGGGAGCGAACCGGAUUAGAUACCCGCGUAGU